UUAAGUGACUAAGCGUACACGGUGGAUGCCUUGGCAGUCAGAGGCGAUGAAAGACGUAGUAACUUGCGAUAAGCCCAGAUUAGGUAGUAACAACCAUUUGAGUCUGGGAUUUCUGAAUGGGGAAACCCACGUGCAUAAGCACGUAUCCUUACCUGAAUACAUAGGGUAAGGAGGCGAACCGGGGGAACUGAAACAUCUAAGUACCCCGAGGAAAAGAAAUCAACCGAGAUUCCGAAAGUAGCGGCGAGCGAAAUUGGACUAGCCCUUAAGCUUUACACGCGUUAGACGAACGGUCUGGAAAGUCCGACGAUACAGGGUGAUAGUCCCGUAGUUGACGACGUGUGUUCAGUGAAAUCGAGUAGGGCGGGACACGUGAUAUCCUGUCUGAAUAUGGGGGGACCAUCCUCCAAGGCUAAAUACUACUGACUGACCGAUAGUGAACCAGUACCGUGAGGGAAAGGCGAAAAGAACCCCUGUGAGGGGAGUGAAAUAGAACCUGAAACCGUGUACGUACAAGCAGUAGGAGCAGGCUUUGUCCUGUGACUGCGUACCUUUUGUAUAAUGGGUCAGCGACUUAUAUUCAGUGGCAAGGUUAACCAUCUAGGGGAGCCGUAGGGAAACCGAGUCUUAACUGGGCGUUCAGUCUCUGGAUAUAGACCCGAAACCAGGUGAUCUAGCCAUGGGCAGGUUGAAGGUUGAGUAACAUCAACUGGAGGACCGAACCGACUAAUGUUGAAAAAUUAGCGGAUGACUUGUGGCUAGGGGUGAAAGGCCAAUCAAACCUGGAGAUAGCUGGUUCUCCCCGAAAGCUAUUUAGGUAGCGCCUCGGACGAAUACUACUGGGGGUAGAGCACUGUUAAGGCUAGGGGGUCAUCCCGACUUACCAACCCUUUGCAAACUCCGAAUACCAGUAAGUACUAUCCGGGAGACACACGGCGGGUGCUAACGUCCGUCGUGGAGAGGGAAACAACCCAGACCGCCAGCUAAGGUCCCAAAUUACUACUAAGUGGGAAACGAUGUGGGAAGGCUCAGACAGCCAGGAUGUUGGCUUAGAAGCAGCCAUCAUUUAAAGAAAGCGUAAUAGCUCACUGGUCGAGUCGGCCUGCGCGGAAGAUGUAACGGGGCUAAGUAGUAAACCGAAGCUGCGGCAAUGUGCUUUUGCACAUUGGGUAGGGGAGCGUUCUGUAAGCGGUUGAAGGUGUGUGGUAACGCAUGCUGGACGUAUCAGAAGUGCGAAUGCUGACAUGAGUAACGAUAAAGGGGGUGAAAAACCUCCUCGCCGGAAGACCAAGGGUUCCUGUCCAACGUUAAUCGGGGCAGGGUAAGUCGACCCCUAAGGCGAGCCGAAAGGCGUAGUCGAUGGGAAACGGGUUAAUAUUCCCGUACUUCUUACAAUUGCGAGGGGGGACGGAGAAGGCUAGGUGGGCCUGGCGACGGUUGUCCAGGUUCAAGUGCGUAGGCUUAAGAGUUAGGUAAAUCCGGCUCUUUUUAAGGCUGAGACACGACGUCGAGCAUCUACGGAUGUGAAGUCAUUGAUGCCAUGCUUCCAGGAAAAGCCUCUAAGCUUCAGAUUGUAAGGAAUCGUACCCCAAACCGACACAGGUGGUCGGGUAGAGAAUACCAAGGCGCUUGAGAGAACUCGGGUGAAGGAACUAGGCAAAAUGGUACCGUAACUUCGGGAGAAGGUACGCUCUCGACGGUGAAGUCCCUCGCGGAUGGAGCUAUUGAGAGUCGCAGAUACCAGGUGGCUGCAACUGUUUAUUAAAAACACAGCACUGUGCAAAAUCGUAAGAUGACGUAUACGGUGUGACGCCUGCCCGGUGCCGGAAGGUUAAUUGAUGGGGUUAGACUUCGGUCGAAGCUCUUGAUCGAAGCCCCGGUAAACGGCGGCCGUAACUAUAACGGUCCUAAGGUAGCGAAAUUCCUUGUCGGGUAAGUUCCGACCUGGCACGAAUGGCGUAAUGAUGGCCACGCUGUCUCCACCCGAGACUCAGUGAAAUUGAAAUCGCUGUGAAGAUGCAGUGUACCCGCGGCUAGACGGAAAGACCCCGUGAACCUUUACUACAGCUUGGCACUGAACAUUGACCCUACAUGUGUAGGAUAGGUGGGAGGCUUUGAAGCACGUACGCCAGUAUGUGUGGAGCCGUCCUUGAAAUACCACCCUUGUAGUGUUGAUGUUCUAACGUCGACCCCUUAUCGGGGUUGCGGACAGUGCCUGGUGGGUAGUUUUGACUGGGGCGGUCUCCUCCCAAAGAGUAACGGAGGAGCACGAAGGUGGGCUAAUCACGGGUUGGACAUCGUGAGUUAGUGCAAUGGCAUAAGCCCGCUUGACUGCGAGAAUGACAAUUCGAGCAGGUGCGAAAGCAGGUCAUAGUGAUCCGGUGGUUCUGAAUGGAAGGGCCAUCGCUCAACGGAUAAAAGGUACUCGGGGAUAACAGGCUGAUACCGCCCAAGAGUUCAUAUCGACGGCUGGUGUUUGGCACCUCGAUGUCGGCUCAUCACAUCCUGGGGCUGAAGUCGGUCCCAAGGGUAUGGCUGUUCGCCAUUUAAAGUGGUACGCGAGCUGGGUUUGAGAACGUCGUGAGACAGUUCGGUGCCUAUCUGCCGUGGGCGUGGAAGAUUGAAGGGGGGCUGCUCCUAGUACGAGGACCGGAGUGGACGAACCUCUGGUGUUCGGUUGUGUCGCCAGACGCAUUGCCCGGUAGCUAAGUUCGGAAUCGAUAACCGCUGAAAGCAAUCUAAAGCGGGAAGCGAGCCUGAGAUGAGUCUUCCCUGAUACUGUAUCCUAAGGGUUGUCGAGACUACGACGUUGAAUAGGUCAGGUGUGUAUGCUGUGAGGCAAUUGAGCUAAACUGAUACUAAUGCCCGUGAUCUUAAACCA
This 2881-nucleotide ribosomal RNA is filed under the name Vibrio parahaemolyticus VP232. RNAcentral describes it as "bacterial LSU rRNA". It matches the Rfam family "Bacterial large subunit ribosomal RNA". The record is from RNAcentral. Lineage: Bacteria; Pseudomonadati; Pseudomonadota; Gammaproteobacteria; Vibrionales; Vibrionaceae.